RNAcentral lists this long non-coding RNA (535 nucleotides) under Mus caroli (Ryukyu mouse). RNAcentral describes it as "lncRNA (MGP_CAROLIEiJ_G0006165.1)". Lineage: Eukaryota; Metazoa; Chordata; Mammalia; Rodentia; Muridae. The record is from RNAcentral.
AGCGGCUGGCUGAGGUGACAGAUUCAAAGUAGUGGAGACUUGCCAACACACCGGAAACUGCCUUAGAGGCUGCAGGAUGAAGCAUGACAUCUGCUCGAACCUCAGAAUGUGACUCGCUGUUUUCCCUCAAACUAUAAUUUUCGUGUUGAUUAAAUAAGAUAAUAUUCACAGAACCACAGUGAAUAGGAGGCUAGCAGUAAGCUCCAAGGCCCUUCCCAGCUGUCUGUCUGUCCGUCUCCCCUGCCUGUUUCCUUCUUGUUCUGCAGACAGCAUCCUGCAGCUCCCUCUUUGGUUGACCCGUGCAUCCUUUCAGACCCCUGAGUUUCUGGGCCUCUAAAACAACAGGGAAAAUGUCAUGGAAUGGAUCUUCCUGUGAACUCCUUCCUCUGGUUCCUCACAGAGCCCCCAAAUGGCCUUAGGGACUAGAAAAAAGUUCACAAGGUCAGGUGCUGGGGCACAGGAUACAGAGAUGUUUCCAGUUUAUGUGGAAGACGCAGGAAGGGAGGGAGCUUGAGUGACCUACAGGAAACAUGGG